ACCUUACCUCUUGCCGCGUUGUCUCGGCGGGAGGCGGUGGGCGUCGCGCGCCCUAGCGGGCCGUGCCGCUCCCGUCCCCGCCGGCGGCGCCAAACUCUAAAUUUACAGCGGACUGUACGUUCUGAUUUACAAAAAAAAACAAGUUAAAACUUUCAACAACGGAUCUCUUGGUUCUGGCAUCGAUGAAGAACGCAGCGAAAUGCGAUAAGUAAUGUGAAUUGCAGAAUUCAGUGAACCAUCGAAUCUUUGAACGCACAUUGCGCCCGGCAGUAAUCUGCCGGGCAUGCCUGUCCGAGCGUCAUUUCUACCCUCGAGCGAGUCCAGCAUCUAGGUGCUGGGCCUCGCCCGGCGUUGGAGCACUACGGGAAGCCCUGUGCUGUCCCCCGUAGGCCCCGAAAUGAAGUGGCGGUCCUGCCGCGGCGCCCCCUGCGUAGUAUAACAGCUCGCUUCGGGACCCGGUGGAGGCCUGCCGUCAAACCUAUAACUCU
RNAcentral lists this ribosomal RNA (488 nucleotides) under Cephalotrichum guizhouense. RNAcentral describes it as "eukaryotic LSU rRNA". The stretch from base 148 to 301 matches the Rfam family "5.8S ribosomal RNA". Lineage: Eukaryota; Fungi; Ascomycota; Sordariomycetes; Microascales; Microascaceae. The record is from RNAcentral. RNAcentral also lists the same sequence under 1 other name.